UACGAAGGGGGCUAGCGUUGUUCGGAUUUACUGGGCGUAAAGCGCACGUAGGCGGAUCGUUAAGUCGGGGGUGAAAUCCUGGAGCUCAACUCCAGAACUGCCUUCGAUACUGGCGAUCUUGAGUCCGGAAGAGGUGAGUGGAACUCCUAGUGUAGAGGUGGAAUUCGUAGAUAUUCGGAGGAACACCGGUGGCGAAGGCGGGUCUCUGGGCCGAUACUGACGCUGAGGAGCGAAAGCGUGGGGAGCGAACAGG
RNAcentral lists this ribosomal RNA (253 nucleotides) under uncultured bacterium. Its description in RNAcentral is "partial 16S ribosomal RNA". It matches the Rfam family "Bacterial small subunit ribosomal RNA", at positions 524 to 776 of the family's 1533-position model. The record is from RNAcentral.